Molecule: non-coding RNA, 48 nt
Organism: Schistosoma haematobium
Lineage: Eukaryota; Metazoa; Platyhelminthes; Trematoda; Strigeidida; Schistosomatidae
Source: Rfam
GUACAACUGAAAAGUCCCAUAACAGAACGAAACGGCCGUCCAGUGUAU